AUUUCCUUGAACCACCAUAAACCUUAGCCAUUAAUUAAAAAAAAAAAAAAAAGAACAUAUAACUAAAAUUACAAUCAAAAGUUCCAAAAUUUUCAUAAAUAUAAAAGAACUAACGAAAAUAACAAAAAGAAGAAUAAAAAAUACUCAAACUUUUUCGAGGAGGUACUAGAAGCUUUAUCGACACGGCCUCAUCUCUGCCAUGCUUAUUACUUGCAAAUCAACAACAGAAUCACCUCUCAAAGUACAACAAUAUAAAACCCAACGCACAACAAAUUAGAACGGGCUGCUGUGGGUAUGUCUUGGAUGCUCCCCAUCCAUGUAAAAGAAAUAAGAGAAUGAAUCAUGGGGUAAUUUUGAGUUUGCGUUUGAAAAUGGAUGAGGUUAUGGAAGUUUUGAGUUUGCAUUUGAAAAUGGAUGAGGUGAUGGUUAUGUGUGGAAGGAAAAAAGCGUAUGAAAACAGACAGGGGGCGGGGGGGGG
Molecule: long non-coding RNA, 478 nt
Filed under: Olea europaea subsp. europaea
Lineage: Eukaryota; Viridiplantae; Streptophyta; Magnoliopsida; Lamiales; Oleaceae
Source: RNAcentral